AUUGAACGCUGGCGGCAGGCCUAACACAUGCAAGUCGAGCGGAUGAAGGGAGCUUUCUCCUGUAUUCCGCUGCGGACGGGUGAGUAAUUCCUAGGAAUCUGCCUGGUCGUUGGGGCUAACGUCCGUUCACGGGCGCUAAUCCCGCAUCCGUCCUGAUGUUGAACGUGGUGGAUCUUCGGACCUCACGCUAUCUGAUGUCCCUAGGUCGGAUUAGCUAGUUGGUGUGGUAAAGGCUUACCAAGGCGACGAUCCGUAACUGAUCUGAGAGGGUGAUCUGUCACACUGGAACUGAGACACGGUCCAGACUCCUACGGGAGGCAGCAGUGGGGAAUAUUGGGCAAUGGGCGAAAGCCUGAUCCAGCCAUGCCGCGUGUGUGAAGAAGGUCUUCGGAUUGUAAAGCACUGUAAGUUGGGAAGAAGAGAAGUAAGUUAAUACAUGGAUGUUUUGACGGUACCAACAGAAUAAGCAACGGCUAACUACGUG
This 484-nucleotide ribosomal RNA is filed under the name uncultured bacterium. Its description in RNAcentral is "partial 16S ribosomal RNA". It matches the Rfam family "Bacterial small subunit ribosomal RNA", at positions 30 to 507 of the family's 1533-position model. The record is from RNAcentral.